GCAUAUCAAUAAGCGGAGGAAAAGAAAAUAACAAUGAUUCCCCUAGUAACUGCGAGUGAAGAGGGACAAGCUCAAAUUUUAAAUCUAUCGGGUUUUACCUGAUCGAGUUGUAAUUUGAAGAGGCGUUUUCUGCGUGUUUGGUCAGCCUAAGUCCUAUUGAAUGAGGCAUCAUGGAGGGUGAUAAUCCCGUCCGGUUGAUCAUUUGCGUUUUACGAUACGCUUUCUAAGAGUCAAGUUGUUUGGGAUUGCAGCUUAAAAUGGGAGGUAAAUUUCUCCUAAGGCUAAAUAACGGCGAGAGACCGAUAGCGAACAAGUACCGUGAGGGAAAGAUGAAAAGAACUUUGAAAAGAGAGUUAAACAGUACGUGAAAUUGUUGAAAGGGAAACGAUUGAAGCCAGUCGUACCUUCGGGUAAUCAGCCUUUCGAGUGCGAUUCUGUGGAGUGUGAGGAGCUUAACACCUUCAUGCUUUGCAUAUUUGUGCUCUUGGGUGUACUUGCCCGUGUGGUUGGUUAACAUCAAUUUUGGUUAUCAUAAAAUGAUUGGAGGAAUGUAGCUUCGAUCUCGUAUUGAAGUGUUAUAGCCUUCGGUAAAUGUGAUGAACGAGAUUGAGGAUUGCAACGGAUACCCUUCGGGGCUACCUGUCUGGUCUCUGAUCGUUGCUCUGGUGCCGAAAGCUUGCUUACGGUCAUCAAAGUCGAUGGUCAAUAGGUUAGAACGGGUUAAAUUCGUUAAGGAUGUUGACGUAAUGGCUUUAAACGACCCGUCUUGAAACACGGACCAAGGAGUCUAACAUAUAUGCGAGUGUUAGGGUAAUUAAACCCUUACGCGUAAUGAAAGUAAUUUUGGUGGGAACACUUUUGUGCACCAUCGACCGAUCAGGAUAUUUUUUGAUAGAUUUGAGUAAGAGC
This 909-nucleotide ribosomal RNA is filed under the name Rhizophagus irregularis. Its description in RNAcentral is "eukaryotic LSU rRNA". It matches the Rfam family "Eukaryotic large subunit ribosomal RNA", at positions 38 to 801 of the family's 3401-position model. The record is from RNAcentral. Lineage: Eukaryota; Fungi; Glomeromycota; Glomeromycetes; Glomerales; Glomeraceae.